Macrosteles quadrilineatus (aster leafhopper) is the source of this 538-nucleotide long non-coding RNA. RefSeq lists it as uncharacterized. NCBI's taxonomy places the organism in Eukaryota, Metazoa, Arthropoda, Insecta, Hemiptera, Cicadellidae. The transcript has 2 exons. The record is from RefSeq and is a predicted model, not a curated record.
UAAUUUUAACUUCUUUAUUAAUUACCAAUUAGAUUUUAAGAGUUUUAAUUAUAUAAUCUGAAAUUGUAUAAUUUAGUUAUCAUGGUCUCAACCCCAUAUAAAUAAAUGAUUAACAUACAUCCAAAGUUAUAUUUCUUAAGCAUUAAUACUGUAUUAUUUUGGAGUCAACAGGAACUUCUUUGGGAACCAUCAACCUGUUUGAUCUUCUCAUUUCGAUGACUAAAAACUUCUUCUUGUCUUUGCUUCUCUAUAGACCACCUAGCUUGUGAUUUGUUUAAUCAGGGAAAUAGUACUGGACCAGGAUGAAGAGAAACCUGCCAAGCUCUACGGAUUGUUGAUCUCUCCUCGACUGCUACCUACUCAACCCUUGGAUUAUUUGACUCCAGUUGUCCACUUGUAACCCAGAAGAAUUAUAUCUAGGAACAGACCUGUGGAUCUACAUUAUGACCAUGAUAAGUCCUAGACCUAACAUUUUUUAACAAUAUUUUUGUUCAUAUAUUGUACAUUUAAUAGAAACAAAUAAAUAUUCUUAUUCUUG